RNAcentral lists this ribosomal RNA (229 nucleotides) under uncultured bacterium. RNAcentral describes it as "partial 16S ribosomal RNA". It matches the Rfam family "Bacterial small subunit ribosomal RNA", at positions 568 to 796 of the family's 1533-position model. The record is from RNAcentral.
UGCGCAGGCGGGGAUGUAAGUCAGUGGUGAAAAGCUGCCGCUUAACGGUAGUCUUGCCAAUGAUACUGCAUCUCUUGAGUAUGGUUAAGGUAGGCGGAAUGUGCAGUGUGGCGGUGAAAUGCAUAGAUAUUGCACAGAACGCCGAUUGCGAAGGCAGCUUACUGAGCCAUAACUGACGCUGAGGCACGAAAGCGUGGGGAGCGAACAGGAUUAGAUACCCUGGUAGUCC